AUGGACAACUUCCUCGCCGUUGUCGCCGCCGCAAUCUCCAGUUACUCUCUCGUCGCCCUGGUGCGGCUCCGACCAGCAGAGCUCAUCAGCUGGCUCCGUGAGCUCCAGCUUCAGCCAGCGCACCUCUUCUUGGCGGGGUUCGUCCCGGCCGCAGCGGCCACCGUGCACCUCAUGCUUCGCCCGCGCGCGGUGUACCUGGUCGACUACGCCUGCUUCCACUCCUCCUCCAACCGCCCGCUCGGCCGCAUCCCCAUGGCCUCCUUCGUCGAGCACACCAAGCAUACGCCCACCAUCGACGACCGCAGCGUCCGGUUAAUGUCGCGCCUGCUGCAGCGCUCCGGCCUCGGGGAGGAGACAUGCCUGCCGGCGGCGCACAACUACGUCCCCACGCACGAGUACUGCACCCUCGAGAACGCCCGCGCCGAGUUUGAGCUCGUCGUCUUCUCGGCCAUUGACGACCUCCUCACCAAGACGGGCGUCGCUCCAGACGCCAUCUGCGCGCUCGUCCUCAACUGCAGCCUCUUCUGCCCCACGCCGUCCUUGGUCGACAUCAUCGUCAACAAGUACAACCUGCGCGGCGACAUCCGCAGCAUCAACCUCUCCGGCAUGGGUUGCAGGUUCUCACUUUCAGUGCAAUUUCGUUGA
This 645-nucleotide ribosomal RNA is filed under the name Triticum aestivum (bread wheat). Its description in RNAcentral is "partial small subunit ribosomal RNA". The record is from RNAcentral. Lineage: Eukaryota; Viridiplantae; Streptophyta; Magnoliopsida; Poales; Poaceae.